CCGAGGGCUCUCAUCUGUCUUGAAAACUUCACAUAUAACUCGAGAAAUAGUAAUCCACUAUCUAUAUGUGUCUGCACCAUCACCUCCAACCCCCUCGCACCUCUAAUAUCGAAAGCAUUAUAUCUGAAGGGGUCGACCGAAGCACAAAAUUGAUAUUUAAGUGACGGUACUUUCAUCUGGUUGGACCCGAUGAUUUUUUGCCUAAUUCUUUGACAUAGUUCUGAAAAUGUUAUAUCCAGGUUAAAAGCUAACCGUAUUGUGUUCUUUGAUAAGAAACGAUCUCAUUCUCAGUGUCACGCACUUCACUUCAUAAUAAACAAUAGCAUUAAUUUGUCC
This 336-nucleotide long non-coding RNA is filed under the name Gossypium raimondii (Peruvian cotton). Its description in RNAcentral is "long non-coding RNA (GRAI_LNC007452)". The record is from RNAcentral. Lineage: Eukaryota; Viridiplantae; Streptophyta; Magnoliopsida; Malvales; Malvaceae.